GUAGGUGGCAAGCGUUGUCCGGAAUUAUUGGGCGUAAAGCGCGCGCAGGCGGUUCUUUAAGUCUGAUGUGAAAGCCCACGGGCUCAACCGUGGAGGGUCAUUGGAAACUGGAGAACUUGAGUACAGAAGAGGAAAGCGGAAUUCCACGUGUAGCGGUGAAAUGCGUAGAGAUGUGGAGGAACACCAGUGGCGAAGGCGGCUUUCUGGUCUGUAACUGACGCUGAGGCGCGAAAGCGUGGGGAGCAAACAGGAUUAGAUACCCUGGUAGUCCACGCCGUAAACGAUGAGUGCUAAGUGUUAGGGGGUUUCCGCCCCUUAGUGCUGCAGCUAACGCAUUAAACACUCCGCCUGGGGAGUACGGCCGCAAAGGCUG
Molecule: ribosomal RNA, 373 nt
Filed under: uncultured organism
Description: partial 16S ribosomal RNA
Rfam family: Bacterial small subunit ribosomal RNA
Source: RNAcentral